GAUUUUUUUAUGUUAAAUGGGUCGACGUUUUGCCGCUAUCUCGCCUGAUGGUAAGUGAUGAUGCGGCCUACGAUGGAGCACGUCUGCCCAUAAGCAACCUAUUCACUCGGGCUUUGAAGACACCCAGGUUAUACCCAUCAGGAAACACAGACUCCGGCAAGGAGUUCCACUCCCUAGCAGUUCGCACAAGGAAGCUUGAA
Spodoptera frugiperda (fall armyworm) is the source of this 200-nucleotide long non-coding RNA. RefSeq lists it as uncharacterized. The transcript is spliced from 2 exons. NCBI's taxonomy places the organism in Eukaryota, Metazoa, Arthropoda, Insecta, Lepidoptera, Noctuidae. The record is from RefSeq and is a predicted model, not a curated record.